GAAUAAUUUUAUUCUUGUUUAAAUAAUUUGCUAAUAUCAAAUUUUAUAUGUAAAUUUUUGUUUUAUUAUUUCUAAAUGAAAUUUAAAGUUAAUGGGUCAGUAAAAAGUAUUAAUAAUUAGAUAAAUUUUUAAUUGGUUAUGAUAGUAGUAUUGAUAGAAUAUGUGCCAGCAUUCGCGGUUAUACAUUAUAUACAAGUGAAUUUUAUUAGUAUAAUAGUUACUUUAUGUAAAGUGGAUAUAUUAUUGAUUUUUGGGUGAAAUCUAAAUUUUUAUUAAGUUGUUUAAUAUUAAAGGAAGCUUUGAAAUCCAUUUAAUAAACUAGGAUUAGAUACCCUAUUAUUUUGGAUAUAAAUUGGUGAAUACUUAAGUAGUAGUAGUUAGGGACUUGAAACUUAAAGAAUUUGGCGGUAUUUUAGUCUGUUUAGAGGAAUCUGUCCCGUAAUCGAUAAUCCGCGUUGGACCUUACUUAAUAUAUGGUAUGUAUACCGCCGUUGUUGAAAAUCUUUUUAGGGUAAUUUCUUGAUUUUUUUAGUAAAAAUUUCAGGUCAAGGUGCAGCUUAUGAUUAAGAGGUGAUGGAUUACAAUGUUUUAAAAUAAACGGAUUUUUAUUAGAAGUUAAUUAAUUGAAGGUGGAUUUAAUAGUAAAUUUGUGAAGAUUUUCAAAUUGAUAAAAGCUCUAAAAUGUGCACACAUCGCCCGUCACUCUCGUUAAUUAAGGUGAGAUAAGUCGUAACAAAGUAGGUGUACCGGAAGGUGUAGCUAGAAUGUC
Molecule: non-coding RNA, 769 nt
Filed under: Rhyparobia grandis
Lineage: Eukaryota; Metazoa; Arthropoda; Insecta; Blattodea; Blaberidae
Source: RNAcentral